This 370-nucleotide ribosomal RNA is filed under the name uncultured bacterium. Its description in RNAcentral is "bacterial SSU rRNA". It matches the Rfam family "Bacterial small subunit ribosomal RNA", at positions 29 to 429 of the family's 1533-position model. The record is from RNAcentral.
AACGAACGCUGGCGGCAGGCCUAAAACAUGCAAGUCGAACGGGUGUAGCAAUACAUCAGUGGCGCACGGGUGAGUAACGCGUGGGAACGUGCCCUUCAGUACGGGACAACGUCGGGAAACUGACGCUAAUACCGUAUAAUGACUCCGGUCCAAAGAUUUAUCGCUGAAGGAGCGGCCCGCGUCUGAUUAGCUAGUUGGUGAGGUAAGGCUCACCAAGGCGACGAUCUGUAGCGGGUCUGAGAGGAUGAUCCGCCACACUGGAACUGAGACACGGUCCAGACUCCUACGGGAGGCAGCAGUGGGGAAUUUGGACAAUGGGCGCAAGCCUGAUCCAGCCAUGCCGCGUGAGUGAAGAAGGCCUCGGUGUAAG